Molecule: long non-coding RNA, 2299 nt
Organism: Mauremys mutica (yellowpond turtle)
Lineage: Eukaryota; Metazoa; Chordata; Testudines; Geoemydidae
Exons: 3
Source: RefSeq, a predicted model, not a curated record
AAGCAGAGCUGGGAGGUUGCUGGGCUGCCCAGCGGUGCCCUCUCCAUCGGGCACAGGCGGAUCCAGCGAUGCCCCAAGCUGUGAGAGUGCUGCAAGCUCCAGCGUCCCCAGGUGGCUGGUUGCUUCAGAGGACUAAGAGUUGCAGUAAGCUUUGUGAAGCAAGAAAUCCAGAUUAAAAUGUAUGGGAGCCUAAAAAGGAGAAGUACCUUUCUGCUGGAACCACAUGGAGAACCUCCUCCCACUAUUUAAGACUUCCCACUAUUUAAGAAAAUGUUUUGAACCCCAAAGGAACAGUCAGCUUCCUGGGUAGUUAGCAACCAAGUAUCCAAGAUGUCAGAUGAAUGCUGAGAGAGUUGAGAUGCAGUGAUUGGAUGUGGUUCUGUGAAACUAUAUCCAAGACCUGAGGGAGAGUUAUGCAAUCUCAAAUUGAAAGACUCAAGUCCGAGAUCCAGGGAUGUCAAAGCUGGGCCGGUGCUAUUAAAAUUAGAAUGGUGUGAUUGUCUGAAAUUGCACAAAACUCUCAGUAUCGUUGGGACUGGAAGGAAAAGCAUAUAGAAUUUUCCCCCAUCCAGGACAAUAGGAAGAUGUCUGACAAAGACCGUGCACUGUGACUUGCCCUUGAAAAGAACAGGUGACACUUCCUGUUGGGUGACGAAGAGAUCUAUUUUUGGCAUCUCUCAAGGCUGAAAAUGGACUUUGCUAUGUCAGAUCUGAGGAACUAUUUACGAUCUCUCCUGAAUGUUCUGCUGAAAUGGUCCACAAAAUAGUUUUGGACCCCCCCCAGGAGAUGAGAUGCUUUGAGUGUAAUUGUCUGAAUGUAAACAGUCCAUAGGUUCAUUUUCUCUUGGCAAAGGGGGUCUAAUCUGGCACCUCCCUGCUUGUUCAAAUGGAACAGCAGUGUUAUCCAUGACUACCUGCACAGUAUCAUCUUUGAUGAGAGGGAGAAAAACCUGACAGACCAGGUGGAUAGCUCAAAGUUCUUCAGCACUGAUGUGCAGAGACAGAUCUUUAUUUGACCAGAGUCCCUGAGUCUGGAGGUCCCCUACAUGAGCUCCCCAUCCGAGAAACAAAACAUCUAUGACCAGGGGCAUGGCGGGCAGAGUUGUGGAAAAAAGAAACCCACUUUGAAAACUCUGGUGGGGUCCCAUCCACUAAUCCAGGGACAAGAAGACACCUGCAGGUAUAUGAUUUAGUACAUCCAGCUAACAAAAGGAAUGAUAGACCAGCUCUGAAUAACUCUUAAGCGAAGUCUGGCAUGCACAAGUCACCAUGUGACCGAGAAGUCUCAGAAAAUUCCUCACUGCUGUACGAGGAUACACCUUGAAGUCCCUGCAAAGGUUCAAUAUUGUUGGAAGCCUGGCCUGAUGUAAAUAUGCUCUUGUAGUCAUAGAAUCAAGAACUGCUACUAUGAAUUCGAUUCUCUGCAAAGGCAGAACAACUUAUGUGUCCUUGCUGAUCAACAGGCCCAAUGAACAAAGGCAACCACCACACACUGUAGAGGACUGGAUCUUUUGAAUGGCUACCUCCACUUGCUCCCUUGACUGACCUCAAACCAACCAAACAUGGGCAUACCUAGGCACCCACUUUCUUGGAUUGUGCUGCAAUGGCUGCCAUGCACUUUGUGGAGACUUGAGGGGCUGAAGACAGGCCAAAGGCAAGGUCUGUUAACUGAUAACUAUCUGCUACAAUAAACCUUAAAAACCUCCUGUGACUCUGGUGAAUGGCCACAUGGAAGCAGGCAUCCUUUAAGUUGAGGGCAGCAAAUCAGUCACUGGGAUCUAGGGAUGAGAUAAUAGAUGCUAGGGUAACCAUACAAAACUUUUUUUAAAAAUGUAUGUGUUGAGUUUUUGCAGGUCUGAGGCCUCUCUUGGACUUUGGAAUGAGAAAAUAAUGGGAAUAGAAUCCCUUCAUCUGUGGCCCCGAAUUGUAACAGAGGUUGAACUUCUUGAAUUAGACGUCUCGAGAAAAUAGUUUCUGACAAGGGAUGAGGUGGGGAGGAAUGGGAACGGGGAAUAGAGGAAAAGUGCAGGGUUUAUCCCAUUUCCAAUAUGCUUAGUACCCAUUGAUGAGUGGAACAACAUGCUGCCAAGGGAGGGGAAAUCAGAGUGAGUGGUAUGCUGGCUUCAACUAAGAAGUCAGACUGCUUAAAUGCUAUAAGAUUGUUUAGAGGUAGCAGAUGGUGGUGGAGGUGGCAGAGGAGGUAGUAGUCUUCUUUGAGUCUUAUGGCACCUCCUAGUUUUGGUCCAGCUGACUUGUAGGGUAGAACAGGUACCUUUACUGGACCUGGAGACAGAACUGC